This 809-nucleotide long non-coding RNA is filed under the name Homo sapiens (human). RNAcentral describes it as "HSALNT0362737". The record is from RNAcentral. Lineage: Eukaryota; Metazoa; Chordata; Mammalia; Primates; Hominidae.
GAAAAUGCCAAGGUCGCUUCCUUCAGGUUUUUCCUUCCAGAAGUGAGUCCGUGCUGCUGCACAUGCCCCAGCCUCUGAAUCUAGAGCUCAGUGCAGGGCCCAUCACUGGACUGAGGGACAGGCUCAUCUAAUUCUGAGUGGAUAUUACUCUGCAUUAUAAUGAAGCCAACAGUCAUAUCUUCUGAUGUGGAGAUUUGAGAAGCAUUUGUAUUGGAUGUGACCGUCAAAAUGCGCCCCAUAUCACUGCAACACCUACAAGUUUUCUUGCAUGGGGUGCUCAGACUUUCACCUCUGGCAAGUAUUACUGGGAGGUCCAUGUGGGGGACUCUUGGAAUUGGGCUUUCGGUGUUUGUAAUAAGUACUGGAAAGGGAAGAAUCAGAAUGGCAAUAUAUAUGGAGAGGAGGGACUCUUUAGUCUUGGGAUUGUUAAGAACGACAUUCAGUGCAGUCUCUUUACCACCUCCCCAGUUACACUGCAGUAUGUCCCAAGACCUACCAACCAUGUAGGAUUAUUCCUGGAUUGUGAAGCUAGAACUGUGAGCUUCGUUGAUGUUAAUCAAAGCUCCCCUAUAUACACCAUCCCUAAUUGCUCCUUCUCACCUCCUCUCAGGCCUAUCUUUUGCUGUAUUCAUCUCUGACCAGAGACAAAUCAGAAAUGUGUUUAUCUGCUGUGGGAACCCCUUUAUCCCAUAAAGCCCUCUUCCUUGUGCCUUAUCAAACAGGACAAAUAGGUUCUGUUUUAUGUCUUGAAUUGCAUUCUAAUGUUAUUAAAACUCAUUUAUUGUGUUACUAUUAAAUGUGGUAAAAAC